GCCCCUUUUCCCGGGAGACACGGGCAGUUUUUUGAGCAUCAAGUCAGAUAUUUGCCGUGAUUGCACCUCUGUGAGUGUGACCUGGACGUCUGUCGCAAAUCCUGUCUUGAUUGUGUCACAGAUGGUGUCCAGCUGAUUGCAGUCUUGGCAUAGCAGUUAAUCUGGAAGAAGUAAAAUGUGUUCCCGUGAAGCAUAUCCUCUGUUUUGCCAUGAUUUUCUGUAUCUGAUAUGAGUUGCUUCUUUGUAGGAUCUCAGCUUUGG
RNAcentral lists this long non-coding RNA (261 nucleotides) under Notechis scutatus (mainland tiger snake). Its description in RNAcentral is "lncRNA (ENSNSUG00000006513.1)". Lineage: Eukaryota; Metazoa; Chordata; Lepidosauria; Squamata; Elapidae. The record is from RNAcentral.